CUACGUGCGGCAGCAGUGGGGAAUAUUGGACAAUGGGCGAAAGCCUGAUCCAGCCAUGCCGCGUGUGUGAAGAAGGCCUUCGGGUUGUAAAGCACUUUCAGGGGGGAAGAAAGCCUUGGGGCUAAUACCCUCGAGGAAGGACAUCACCCACAGAAGAAGCACCGGCUAACUCCGUGCCAGCAGCCGCGGUAAUACGGAGGGUGCGAGCGUUAAGCGGAAUUACUGGGCGUAAAGCGCGCGUAGGCGGUCUGAUAAGCCGGUUGUGAAAGCCCCGGGCUCAACCUGGGAACGGCAUCCGGAACUGUCAGGCUAGAGUGCAGGAGAGGAAGGUAGAAUUCCCGGUGUAGCAGUGAAAUGCGUAGAGAUCGGGAGGAAUACCAGUGGCGAAGGCGGCCUUCUGGACUGACACUGACGCUGAGGUGCGAAAGCGUGGGUAGCAAACAGGAUUAGAUACCCCUGUAGUC
RNAcentral lists this ribosomal RNA (464 nucleotides) under Vreelandella stevensii. RNAcentral's name for it is "partial 16S ribosomal RNA". It matches the Rfam family "Bacterial small subunit ribosomal RNA", at positions 339 to 795 of the family's 1533-position model. Lineage: Bacteria; Pseudomonadati; Pseudomonadota; Gammaproteobacteria; Oceanospirillales; Halomonadaceae. The record is from RNAcentral.